CGUGCACCAGUGGGGUCCCUCGGCCUGGCCUGUGCCCUCUUGCAAUCUGGGACCCUUGGGGGAUGUCGGAGAGCCAGUUUCAGCCCAAUCCCCACAGGCCAGGCCGAGGGACUCCACUGGUGCAUG
This 126-nucleotide microRNA precursor is filed under the name Myotis davidii. RNAcentral describes it as "mir-9193 microRNA precursor family". It matches the Rfam family "mir-9193 microRNA precursor family". The record is from Rfam by way of RNAcentral. Lineage: Eukaryota; Metazoa; Chordata; Mammalia; Chiroptera; Vespertilionidae.